GACCUGACUGCUAUCGGAUUGAUACUAAGCCAUGCGAGUCAUUGUAGUAAUACAAGGCAGACGGCUCAGUAACGCGUAGUCAACCUAACCUAUGGACGGGAAUAACCUCGGGAAACUGAGUAUAAUUCCCGAUAGAACAUUAUGCCUGGAAUGGUUUAUGUUCCAAAUGAUUUAUCGCCGUAGGAUGGGACUGCGGCCUAUCAGUUUGUUGGUGAGGUAAUGGCCCACCAAGACUAUUACAGGUACGGGCUCUGAGAGGAGUAGCCCGGAGAUGGGUACUGAGACACGGACCCAGGCCCUAUGGGGCGCAGCAGGCGAGAAAACUUUGCAAUGUGCGAAAGCACGACAAGGUUAAUCCGAGUGGUUUGUGCUAAACGAACCUUUUGUUAGUCCUAGAAACACUAACGAAUAAGGGGUGGGCAAGUUCUGGUGUCAGCCGCCGCGGUAAAACCAGCACCUCAAGUGGUCAGGAUGAUUAUUGGGCCUAAAGCAUCCGUAGCCGGCUCUGUAAGUUUUCGGUUAAAUCUGUACGCUCAACGUACAGGCUGCCGGGAAUACUGCAGAGCUAGGGAGUGGGAGAGGUAGACGGUACUCGGGAGGAAGGGGUAAAAUCCUUUGAUCUUUCGAUGACCACCUGUGGCGAAGGCGGUCUACCAGAACACGUCCGACGGUGAGGGAUGAAAGCUGGGGGAGCAAACCGGAUUAGAUACCCGGGUAGUCCCAGCUGUAAACUAUGCAAACUCAGUGAUGCAUUGACUUGUGGUCAAUGCAGUGCUGCAGGGAAGCCGUUAAGUUUGCCGCCUGGGAAGUACGUACGCAAGUAUGAAACUUAAAGGAAUUGGCGGGGGAGCACCACAAGGGGUGAAGCCUGCGGUUCAA
Molecule: ribosomal RNA, 879 nt
Filed under: uncultured archaeon
Lineage: Archaea
Description: bacterial SSU rRNA
Rfam family: Archaeal small subunit ribosomal RNA
Source: RNAcentral